UAAUAAUAAUAAUAAUAUUAAUAACAAUUGCUCCAAUGAGCACCACAAAGCAACAACAUGAAUAACAUGAAUACAAUUUAAAAGUCAAUGCCUCUCAAGGGCUUGUACAAUAAAUAAUAUAAUUCACACCCUCUUCAUUAAUGUCCACUUCAAAUCCAACAACUAAGUUAAAUAGAAUUUAUGAACUGCAAUAGAGUUUAGGAGAUGCCAAACUUGGUCCUCAGGAGUAAACAAUUGAAAAUGUUACAAAACUCAUAAUUAAAUUCUAUGAUAAUAAAUAUAAAAUUCACCUUAUUUCUCGUUGCUUGAAGGACCUAGAUAAACAUGAUGAUUAAAUAAAUUACAUAGUAUUUUAUGCAUUUUUCUAUCAACUCAUUUCAUUCUACAUUAUCUAAAAUUUCCAUAUACUUGAGACUAACUCCAUUUCAAAUUAACCAUACACAACUGAAGUCUUAAAUUUAAUUCAAAACCUAGAAUCUAAUAUUUUUCUAACUCGAUAACAACUUAUUUUAAAAAUAUAUCUAAAAAAAAUAACCAAAUUAAAAUUUCUAGAACUCAAGUCUUAAUUACCAUUUUCAUUAAAUUUCUUAAAUUCCUAAACUUUACCAUUUAAGCUUUGAUUU
Molecule: unclassified non-coding RNA, 623 nt
Filed under: Hevea brasiliensis (rubber tree)
Lineage: Eukaryota; Viridiplantae; Streptophyta; Magnoliopsida; Malpighiales; Euphorbiaceae
Source: RNAcentral